Molecule: long non-coding RNA, 534 nt
Organism: Ictalurus punctatus (channel catfish)
Lineage: Eukaryota; Metazoa; Chordata; Actinopteri; Siluriformes; Ictaluridae
Source: Ensembl
AUUGGACUUCCUAUUAGAAGCAGAGUGUCACCAACUGUUUCUUCACCUCAAUGUGCAGAUAAAGAGAAGAAGAAAAAACGCUGAGACUUUGCUGGUUCUACCUUGUCCUCUUUUACCACAAACUCCAUGCCGAACCUGGCCAUCACACACACUCGGCCGUCUUUCUUCAGCAUGUAUGUUUCUAUCAGAGGCGUGCUCUCUUUGGGCUGGAGGGUUGGUUUCUUGGACAUGUUGUGCUGAGACUUUGUAUCCUGGUUCAGAAACACCUCAGAGCUCAAAGAGUCAUUAACUUCAGAUGACACACUGUUUCCUGUAGACAAGGAACCACAAACUGAAAACACAGAUCGAGAUGGCUUUCGCUUUUCAGUUCUCUCAGCACAAGAGGGGUUUAUACACCAAAUAAUGUGGAGAAGUUUGUUUUAUUGGUGGCAGUAACAUAAAGAGUAAAAUAUGUAACUCAACUAGUUCACAACCAAGUUCAUCAGGGUUCAUAUCUUUUACAGAUUUUGUGUUUUGUUUUGUUUUUGAAUUUAU